CGGCGUGCCUAACACAUGCAAGUCGAACGAAGCACUUUUAAAUGAUUUCCUCGGAAAGAUUUUAUUUGUGACUGAGUGGCGGACGGGUGAGUAACGCGUGGGUAACCUGCCUCAUACAGGGGGAUAACAGUCAGAAAUGACUGCUAAUACCGCAUAAGCACACAGUACCGCAUGGUACUGUGUGAAAAACUCCGGUGGUAUGAGAUGGACCCGCGUCUGAUUAGCUUGUUGGCGGGGUAACGGCCCACCAAGGCGACGAUCAGUAGCCGACCUGAGAGGGUGACCGGCCACAUUGGGACUGAGACACGGCCCAAACUCCUACGGGAGGCAGCAGUGGGGAAUAUUGCACAAUGGGCGAAAGCCUGAUGCAGCGACGCCGCGUGAACGAGGAAGUAUUUCGGUAUGUAAAGUUCUAUCAGCAGGGAAGACAAUGACGGUACCUGACCAAGAAGCACCGGCUAAAUACGUGCCAGCAGCCGCGGGAAUACGUAUGGUGCAAGCGGUUAUCCGGAUUUACUGGGUGUAAAGGGAGCGCAGGCGGUGCGGCAAGUCUGAUGUGAAAGCCCGGGGCUCAACCCCGGUACUGCAUUGGGAAACUGUCGUUCUUGAGUGAAGUAGAGGUAAGCGGAAUUCCUAGUGUAGCGGUGAAAUGCGUAGAUAUUAGGAGGAACAUCGGUGGCGAAGGCGGCUUACUGGGCUUUUACUGACGCUGAGGCUCGAAAGCGUGGGGAGCAAACAGGAUUAGAUACCCUGGUAGUCCACGCUGUAAACGAUGAUGACUAGGUGUGGGGGGACUGACCCCUUCCGUGCCGCAGCUAACACAAUAAGUAUUCCACCUGGGGAGUACGACCGCAAGGUUGAAACUCAAAGGAAUUGACGGGGGCCCGCACAAGCAGUGGAUUAUGUGGUUUAAUUCGACGCAACGCGAAGAACCUUACCAGGAUUUGACAUCCUACUAACGAAGCAGAGAUGCAUUAGGUGCCCUUCGGGGAAAGUAGAGACAGGUGGUGCAUGGUUGUCGUCAGCUCGUGUCGUGAGAUGUUGGGUUAAGUCCCGCAACGAGCGCAACCCUUAUCUUCAGUAGCCAGCAGUAAGAUGGGAACUCUGGAGAGACUGCCGGGGAUAACCCGGAGGAAGGUGGGGAUGACGUCAAAUCAUCAUGCCCCUUAUGGUUUGGGCUACACACGUGCUACAAUGGCGUAAACAAAGGGAAGCGAAAGGGUGACCCGGAGCAAAUCCCAAAAAAGCUCUCUCAGUUCGGAUUGUAGUCUGCAACUCGACUACAUGAAGCUGGAAUCGCUAGUAAUCGCGAAUCAGAAUGUCGCGGUGAAUACGUUCCCGGGCCUUGCAC
Molecule: ribosomal RNA, 1351 nt
Filed under: uncultured bacterium
Lineage: Bacteria
Description: partial 16S ribosomal RNA
Rfam family: Bacterial small subunit ribosomal RNA
Source: RNAcentral